Long non-coding RNA from Saimiri boliviensis boliviensis (Bolivian squirrel monkey), 496 nucleotides. RefSeq lists it as uncharacterized. The record is from RefSeq and is a predicted model, not a curated record. NCBI's taxonomy places the organism in Eukaryota, Metazoa, Chordata, Mammalia, Primates, Cebidae.
GACACACCCUCCGCCUCCUCUACAGCCUUUGCUUCCCCCUUUUACCUCCACCUGAUUCCCAUUCUCACCCUCUUGCCGACCUCCCCAAAUUCCUUCUCCUUACCCCCAUCUCUGGCUCCUCCUUCCGGGGGGCAAUGUUGAAACUCUGGCCCCGGCCCCCCCACCACAUUUCUCUGGCUCCAUCCGGGGACGGAGCGCUUCAAGAGGGCAUGAAACAGACAUCAUGUGAGGUGUGGAGAAGCAGUGGAGAAGUGUGAAGAGACGGAAAUGUGUCCAAGAUGCAGACGCAAGUGCAGGUGAGGGCUGGAAACCUCUUCAGCUCAACAGUCCAUCUCCCGUCCCUCCCAUCUGCAACCCAAGAGGCAAAGAUGAGUAAGGAAGGCUGGGCACGAGGACAGAAGCCAAGGAGCUGCCGCUCCUUUAAAGGAGGCGGACUUGGGGACAGCAAAGCACAAAUCUUUAUUUAGACAUGAAAAAGACAGAAAAUAAAAUACAA